UCACUCGCUUUCACUUCAGUUCCUCUUGACUUAUCUUAAGAUACAUGUAAUAUGUGAAUAUUAAUUUAAUUGGAGCUGGUGAGGGACUUUCCCAAACUAUUAAAACUCAGUGGUAGCUGACUGAGCCGCAGACCAAGCCAGAUACACACAAAAGUAUGAAGGUAAAUGAAGAGCUUUCAGAGUUGAUUAAUGAUAGACUGAUAAUCAAGCUGAUGCAUUGCAGAUGGACCUCUGGAAGCAAGUAAUCCACCAAUUUACACAAAUGUAAUUCUUCGCCAAAUUUUCUGACUAUACAGUAUUACAUUAUUAGAGUAAGUUGGAGCUAUACCGUCCCAGGGCUAUUCUGUCCCCCUGUAUAAACCAAUGGGAAAUUCAUGUGCAGCGGUCGGAAUAGCCCCAGUUAGAGGGUCCUCUUUCUCCAGUUGUAACUUCUUAACUAUAGCAGAUACAGGACUGAAACAAGGAUGUAUCUAUUCAGCAUAAAAUUCUCUAACUACCAACACCAAAAACAGCUUGAUCUUUAUAAAGUGCAGCUAAGCAACUCUGGCUAAAAAUUUGUGUUCAUUAGCUUUUUCACGUAUUAUCACCUAGUGAUAGUGCUUGUAUAUCUCCGGUCACUGCAUAAUUUUUCCGUAUACUACUUAGUAUCUGGAGGGUCGGAAUAGCCCCAACAACUAGGUCAGUGAAAGUACUGUUUUCAUCCAAAGUUUAAGCUGACUUGUUGAUUUCAAGAAAUUACAAAUAGAAUAGACAAAAUAGAACUCAUUGAUGAAUAAAAUAAAUAAAAUAAAGCAAAAAAGAGUGAAUUAUGACUUCGUGAAUAUUUAAUUAGAUCACAGUGCAGAAACUGGUCGGAAUAGCCCUGAGUUACUCUACCUUUAAUUAUAUUGUCUUAUAGUCAAAAUUGUAUGUAUUUUUCUCUGAUUUUUGUU
Long non-coding RNA from Amphimedon queenslandica, 932 nucleotides. RefSeq lists it as uncharacterized. NCBI's taxonomy places the organism in Eukaryota, Metazoa, Porifera, Demospongiae, Haplosclerida, Niphatidae. The record is from RefSeq and is a predicted model, not a curated record. The transcript is spliced from 3 exons.